This 29-nucleotide non-coding RNA is filed under the name Homo sapiens (human). The record is from RNAcentral. Lineage: Eukaryota; Metazoa; Chordata; Mammalia; Primates; Hominidae.
UUUCCCUAAAGGAGAUUGUCUACUAGCGC